UAAUUGAAGAGUUUGAUCAUGGCUCAGAUUGAACGCUGGCGGCAGGCCUAACACAUGCAAGUCGAGCGGUAACAGAGAGUAGCUUGCUACUUUGCUGACGAGCGGCGGACGGGUGAGUAAUGCUUGGGAACAUGCCUUGAGGUGGGGGACAACAGUUGGAAACGACUGCUAAUACCGCAUAAUGUCUACGGACCAAAG
Molecule: ribosomal RNA, 198 nt
Filed under: Pseudoalteromonas distincta
Lineage: Bacteria; Pseudomonadati; Pseudomonadota; Gammaproteobacteria; Alteromonadales; Pseudoalteromonadaceae
Description: partial 16S ribosomal RNA
Rfam family: Bacterial small subunit ribosomal RNA
Source: RNAcentral